RNAcentral lists this non-coding RNA (21 nucleotides) under Caenorhabditis elegans. The record is from RNAcentral. Lineage: Eukaryota; Metazoa; Nematoda; Chromadorea; Rhabditida; Rhabditidae.
UCUGAACUUUUGAUCAGAAAU